This 259-nucleotide unclassified non-coding RNA is filed under the name uncultured fungus. RNAcentral describes it as "partial contains 5.8S ribosomal RNA, internal transcribed spacer 2, and large subunit ribosomal RNA". The stretch from base 1 to 52 matches the Rfam family "5.8S ribosomal RNA", at positions 103 to 154 of the family's 154-position model. The record is from RNAcentral. Lineage: Eukaryota; Fungi.
AACGCACAUUGCGCCCUUUGGUAUUCCGAAGGGCAUGCCUGUUCGAGCGUCAUUAGACCAAUCAAGCUAUGCUUGGCUUUGGGCGGUCGUCCCCGUUCGCGGCGGGCGCGCCCCAAAUGACCCCCGGCGAAGUCGAUCCGGCCCUGGGCGUAGUAGAAAUUAUCACGUCGAGAGGGUCCGGAGGGCUUCUGCCGCCGAAACACCCAACUUUUUUUCAAAGGUUGACCUCGGAUCAGGUAGGGAUACCCGCUGAACUUAA